RNAcentral lists this long non-coding RNA (237 nucleotides) under Manihot esculenta (cassava). RNAcentral's name for it is "long non-coding RNA (MESC_LNC004374)". Lineage: Eukaryota; Viridiplantae; Streptophyta; Magnoliopsida; Malpighiales; Euphorbiaceae. The record is from RNAcentral.
GGAUUUCUUCACCCCGAACCAGGGGUCUAACCACCGCUAAAGGCCCAUAACAUAGAGGCCCACGUAUCUGAUAUACCCAACAAGCCUGGCUCAUUCAACCUUCAAGACCGGGCUCGGCCCAGCUUCUUCAUAACGGCCCAGCCCACACGAAGCAGGCUCUCUCCUCUCAAGCCUAGCGUCCGGCCUGACUUUCGGCCCAACCCAGGAUCCAGAAUAAUAUUCACCAGACAGCCUGGC